RNAcentral lists this ribosomal RNA (402 nucleotides) under uncultured bacterium. RNAcentral's name for it is "bacterial SSU rRNA". It matches the Rfam family "Archaeal small subunit ribosomal RNA", at positions 339 to 743 of the family's 1478-position model. The record is from RNAcentral.
GGGCGAAACUUUACAAUGCUGGCAACAGCGAUAAGGGAACCUCGAGUGCCAGGUUACAAAUCUGGCUGUCGAGAUGCCUAAAAAGCAUUUCAUAGCAAGGGCCGGGCAAGACCGGUGCCAGCCGCCGCGGUAACACCGGCGGCUCGAGUGGUAACCGUUAUUAUUGGGUCUAAAGGGUCUGUAGCCGGCCGGAUAAGUCUCUUGAGAAAUCUGGCAGCUUAACUGUCAGGCUUUCAGGAGAUACUGUCUGGCUCGAGGCCGGGAGAGGUGAGAGGUACUUCAGGGGUAGGGUGAAAUCUUGUAAUCCUUGAAGGACCACCAGUGGCGAAGGCGUCUCACCAGAACGGACCUGACGGCAAGGGACGAAAGCUAGGGGCACGAACCGGAUUAGAAACCCCGGUA